GGCGACGGUGCCAAGGUCUUCACCCUGACCGAGGUCUCGCAGCACAACACCCCCAAGGACUGCUGGCUCAUCAUCAACGGCAAGGUCUAUGAUGUAACAAAAUUCUUAGAGGAUCACCCUGGAGGUGAUGAUGUAUUAUUGUCAUCAACAGGGAAGGAUGCGACCGAUGAUUUUGAGGACGUUGGGCACAGUACCAGUGCAAGGGCAAUGAUGGACGAGUAUUUUGUUGGAGAGAUUGAUUCAUCAACAAUUCCUACCAAAACCAAAUAUGUCCCUCCUAUACAACCUCAUUACAAUCAGGACAAGACCUCCGACUUCGUCAUCAAGCUUUUCCAGUUUUUGAUUCCGCUGGCAAUCUUGGGAGUGGCUAUUGGCAUUCGAUUCUAUACAAAAUCAUCUUAGAAAUUCUAAGCGUAUGCAUUUGUGUGAGUUGGUUACUUGUUUGGUUGUUUCUUCUCUCGUAUUAGCUCUGCAUCUGUGUCGAGUUGGUUAAUUGUUUGCUUGUGUCGUAUCUCUCUCAAACUG
RNAcentral lists this unclassified non-coding RNA (525 nucleotides) under Hevea brasiliensis (rubber tree). Lineage: Eukaryota; Viridiplantae; Streptophyta; Magnoliopsida; Malpighiales; Euphorbiaceae. The record is from RNAcentral.